AUGGCUCCAGAAAAAAAAAUGCUCAAAGCGAAAAUGAAGUGCAAUCACUGCCAGCACAGAAUGAAGCUGACAUAUAACUCAAACAAAGGAGACAAUUAUGUUUGGUCCUGUAUGAAAAAAGGACACAGGAGAAAAAUCAUGUCUGUGAGAUCUGGAUCACUGUUUGCAAAGUCAAAGUGCAAUUUAUUUUCUUGGAUGAAGUUCAUAUAUCGGUUUGCUCAACGCCUUCAACUGAGACAAAUUGACAUGAUUGAAGAUGGCAUUGCUGGAAGUUCAAGAACACUAAGCAGGAUGGCCCAAAAAGUCAGAGGAAUAUGCAGAUAUUCUAUGAAGCUGUAUGCCAGAAAAAAAGGCCAAAUGAUUGGACAUCCCAGAGAGUUUGUUAUGAUUGAUGAAAGCAACUUCCGCCACAAACGAAAGGUAAUUAAAAUACAGCUUAAAAUACAAGUCAUAUUGCAGAGAUAAGAAUAUGUAAUUGUGUGCAUAAAGUAUUAAAUAGACAUUACAAAGCAAUAAUUAGAAAAAUACUAUAUAAAAUAUAUCUAUUAUUCAAUUUUACAAAUGAUCAUGGUUUUAUCCAGAAGUUGCUUUUUGUUGUCUCGCCUAUACAUCUAUUUAUUGAUAGUUAUUGCUUUAAAACAUUAAAAAAUAAAAAAAAUAUUUUUUUUUAAUAAAACAUAAUAAUAAUAAUAAUAAAUACAUAUAUAAAUGUAAAAUUGCAGAAUUAUAAAGACCUAAACUUUUUUAAAUAAACUUGACCAGAAAAAAUUGCACAAACAGCAAGACAUGAGUGAGAUGAUUUUAUAUAUAUAUAUAUAUAUAUAUAUAUAUAUAUAUAUAUAUAUAUAUAUAUAUAUAUAUAUAUAUAUAUAUAGUGUGUCUGUGUGUGUUUGUAGAGCUUUCUCUUCUUCCUUGCUCCUGACAGGGAUGGAGGAAGGAAGUUGUAUCCACCUUGCAAUGCAUUUUCCACUUCUUUUAUCAGUGGUGUGGUAUGGACAUUUGUCCUCACUGGAUCUGUUAUUAAAAGAUAAACAUAAUUAGUAGUGAACAAGUACAAAUUUAAUAAAAAAAGAAACAUGCUUGCACACAUAAGUACAACCUUAAUAGGACUAUAUAUAGAUUUUUUUUUUUUUUUGUAUUGAAAUGUAUAUUUAAAACCAACUUACUGACUAGACUCCAACCAACUUACUCCUAAGGGGGAGUGCAAGAAAGGCCACUUUUUGGUUUGCCCCGCUCCAGUUAGGGUUAGGGCUCCAGUUAAUUUGUUUAGUCAAGGAGUUAGCCAAAAACACCAAUGAUUCCAAAAAUAGGCUUACCUACGAAGCAAAAACAAACAAAUAAAUAAAUAAACUAAAAACACUUUGAAAUAAGCAAGAGUUUGAACUUACCAGUUUCUUUAUUUGUUCGGGCUGCUCCUUUAGUUGAUUUUCAAGCUUUUCCAUAUCAAAUUGGAAAAAGGAAGGUCAAAUGUGUUUACAUCUGGAAUUUCAUCACGUCUGUUUUGGUUUUGCUGAUCUGUGAGAAUCAGGCCCAGUUGCUGCAUUAUGACGCCACAUGAUUUUAAAACCUCAGUCAGUCGUGCUAAAAAAGAAAAAUAACAAAUUAGUAUAAAUCAACCUGUAGCUUAUUCUCAUACAACUUGUGUAAAUACAACAGUGGGUUAGAUACUGCUGAUAUUUUCUAGUUGAUCUUUACUUUAUAGCUGCAUUAAACCUUAACAAAUUUAGUGAUGUCUUGAAUUCUUACAAAGACAUGACGAGUUGCAACAAGUUCUGUCUGGAUCUCCGACUGCACUAGAACAAGGACUGUAAAUGUUCAUAGGCAUACUGGAAUGUUCAGCAUCUGAGCAUCUUGAUGGUGGUCUUAAGAAUUCUGGUGGUAAUGGUACUUGUGGUGCUGCAUCGAUUUCUGAAAUUUUCAUAUCUGUUUUUUUUCAAGCCUCCUUGUUUUAAAUAUUUUUUCUUCAUCACUGUCACUAUAGUUGUGCCUUAUGUACCAUGAUCAGAUACAUUUACAAAACAAAACAUCAUUUUAGUAUAGUGCCAGGGCAAAACUCAAAGGUUGUAAUAGAUUAUAAACUAUUGAAAUAUUGUUGACAGUAUGCGUUCAAAAUAAUUGCAAACAAACCUGUUCUUUCUUUAGGUGUAUGACAGGCGAUCAUCGUCCUCAUCUGUAUGCCAGUCAGACAUCACAGUUGCUUGUGGAUGUUUCUAUAAUAAAACAUCAAAUUGUUGUUAAUCUCCCCCAAAGAAAAGUUAAAAUUUUGAAAUACUAUCAAAGUUAAUUAAUGGCUAUAAUACCUAUACUGUAAAUAAUCAGCACCCUGAAGGUUGCACAAGAAUUUAUUCAGAGAUUAAUGCACAUUGACAGCCUUAUGAAUCUUAGACAUAGAUUUGUAAGAUGGCUAAGCACGUGCAUCAUUUCAGCCAUGACUUGCAAAUACUGACCUCUUCUGUGCCAAGCUUGUUUGAUCUUGCUCAAGGAUCUUGUUGUGGAC
This is a long non-coding RNA of Danio rerio (zebrafish), 2497 nucleotides long. The record is from Ensembl. Lineage: Eukaryota; Metazoa; Chordata; Actinopteri; Cypriniformes; Danionidae.